This 870-nucleotide ribosomal RNA is filed under the name uncultured bacterium. Its description in RNAcentral is "bacterial SSU rRNA". It matches the Rfam family "Bacterial small subunit ribosomal RNA", at positions 78 to 953 of the family's 1533-position model. The record is from RNAcentral.
CUUCGGAACUGAGACCGGCGCACGGGUGCGUAACGCGUAUGUAAUCUACCCUUUCACAGAGGGAUAGCCCAGAGAAAUUUGGAUUAAUACCUCAUAGUAUUAUAGUAUGGCAUCAUAUUAUAAUUAAAGUCACAACGGUGAAAGAUGAGCAUGCGUCCCAUUAGCUUGUUGGUAAGGUAACGGCUUACCAAGGCAACGAUGGGUAGGGGUCCUGAGAGGGAGAUCCCCCACACUGGUACUGAGACACGGACCAGACUCCUACGGGAGGCAGCAGUGAGGAAUAUUGGACAAUGGGCGCAAGCCUGAUCCAGCCAUGCCGCGUGCAGGAUGACGGUCCUAUGGAUUGUAAACUGCUUUUGCACAGGAAGAAACAACGCUACGUGUAGCGUCUUGACGGUACUGUGAGAAUAAGGAUCGGCUAACUCCGUGCCAGCAGCCGCGGUAAUACGGAGGAUCCAAGCGUUAUCCGGAAUCAUUGGGUUUAAAGGGUCCGUAGGCGGUCUUACAAGUCAGUGGUGAAAUCUCCCCGCUCAACGGGGAAACGGCCAUUGAUACUGUAGGACUUGAAUUAUUAGGAAGUAACUAGAAUAUGUAGUGUAGCGGUGAAAUGCUUAGAGAUUACAUGGAAUACCAAUUGCGAAGGCAGGUUACUACUAAUGGAUUGACGCUGAUGGACGAAAGCGUGGGUAGCGAACAGGAUUAGAUACCCUGGUAGUCCACGCCGUAAACGAUGGAUACUAGCUGUUGGAAGCAAUUUCAGUGGCUAAGCGAAAGUGAUAAGUAUCCCACCUGGGGAGUACGUUCGCAAGAAUGAAACUCAAAGGAAUUGACGGGGGCCCGCACAAGCGGUGGAGCAUGUGGUUUAAUUCG